Sinocyclocheilus rhinocerous is the source of this 409-nucleotide long non-coding RNA. RefSeq lists it as uncharacterized. The record is from RefSeq and is a predicted model, not a curated record. The transcript is spliced from 3 exons. Lineage: Eukaryota; Metazoa; Chordata; Actinopteri; Cypriniformes; Cyprinidae.
AUUGUAUAAGGACCAGCAUAAGAAUGUUACAGACCCAGACAUUCAGUCAAUUUCCGACAUAAAAGAGGGCCAGAUUAUCAGGGGAUAUGUGACGUCUAUUACUGAACUAGGCAUAUUUGUGAGGAUAUCAAGGACCAUCGCAGGAAGAGUUCAGUUCCAGCAUGCCACAAAAUACUUUGUGAACAACCCAAAACCUUUUUCCGAACACAUUGCCAAGAAUGCAUUGCUGACAGCCAAGGUUCUCAGUGUGAACACCACAAACAACCAUGUGAACCUGUCACUGCUGUCAGAGGACAUUGGGAAACAAGAUCUACUCCCAGAAUCCCUUGAGCUUCCAUUGCGUUUGACUGAAGAGCAGAUACAAGAACGUGACAAGAAAGCCACCAAGAGGAAACGGGUCAUUUCUGAG